This 484-nucleotide ribosomal RNA is filed under the name uncultured bacterium. Its description in RNAcentral is "partial 16S ribosomal RNA". It matches the Rfam family "Bacterial small subunit ribosomal RNA", at positions 28 to 507 of the family's 1533-position model. The record is from RNAcentral.
GAUUAACGCUAGCGGCAGGCAUAAUACAUGCAAGUUGAACGGCAGCACAGGUAGCAAUACUGGGUGGCGAGUGGCGCACGGGUGCGUAACACGUAUGCAACCUACCCUAUACAGGCGAAUAACCUUUAGAAAUGAGGGCUAAUACGCCGUAGUAUUACAGAUGGGCAUCUAUUUGUAAUUAAAGAUUUAUCGGUAUAGGAUGGGCAUGCGUCCCAUUAGUUAGUUGGUAAGGUAACGGCUUACCAAGACGAUGAUGGGUAGGGGAUCUGAGAGGACUUACCCCCACACUGGUACUGAGACACGGACCAGACUCCUACGGGAGGCAGCAGUAAGGAAUAUUGGGCAAUGGCCGCGAGGCUGACCCAGCCAUGCCGCGUGCAGGAAGACGGCCUUAUGGGUUGUAAACUGCUUUUAUACGGGAAUAAUAGAGUGUACGCGUACAUUUAUGCAAGUAUCGUAUGAAUAAGCAUCUGCUAACUCCGUG